This 627-nucleotide small RNA is filed under the name Pongo abelii (Sumatran orangutan). Its description in RNAcentral is "processed transcript". The record is from RNAcentral. Lineage: Eukaryota; Metazoa; Chordata; Mammalia; Primates; Hominidae.
AGUAACAGUAAGGAGAAGGAGAGUGAAGGAACUUGCACGCAGUGACUUCUACCUUCUCAUUAAAGUCAAGAGAGAAUCUCAACUGCAGAUAUCUGCUUAAGAUCUGCAACUAUGUGGGACCAGCAAAGGUUAUUGUUCAGUUGGUCACAAAUGGAAAAAAUACCCACCUGCAUGCCCACAGCCUGGUGGGAAAACACUGUGAGGAUGGGAUCUGCACUGUAACUGCUGGACCCAAGGACAUGGUGGUCGGCUUUGCAAAUCUGGGUAUACUUCAUGUGACAAAGAAAAAAGUAUUUGAAACACUGGAAGCACGAAUGACAGAGGCGUGUAUAAGGGGCUAUAAUCCUGGACUCUUGGUGCACCCUGACCUUGCCUAUUUGCAAGCAGAAGGUGGAGGGGACCGGCAGCUGGGAGAUCGGGAAAAAGAGCUAAUCCGCCAAGCAGCUCUGCAGCAGACCAAGGAGAUGGACCUCAGCGUGGUGCGGCUCAUGUUUACAGCUUUUCUUCCGGAUAGCACUGGCAGCUUCACAAGGCGCCUGGAACCCGUGGUAUCAGAUGCCAUCUAUGACAGUAAAGCCCCCAAUGCAUCCAACUUGAAAAUUGUAAGAAUGGACAGGACAGCUGGAU